GUGGCAUCCAGCCCCCCAAAAGCGACGGCAACGCCCAAGCCUGGUUCACCGCGAAUUUCAACUCCACCGGUGCCACCUUCUCCUCCCCCACCUACACCUACCCCAACGUACAAGAGCCCGGCAACCUCUGGUACCAUGACCACGCAAUGGGCCUCACCCGCGUCAACCUCCUUGCCGGCCUCAUCGGUGCCUACACCGUCCGCAAUCCUGCUGCCGAGUCCCCCCUCCGCCUCCCAUCUGGUGACCUCUUCGACCGCCACCUUGUCCUCUUCGACCGCAGCUUCCGCACAGACGGCUCCCUCUACAUGAACUCCACCGGCGACAACCCCUCCAUCCACCCGCAGUGGCAGCCAGAGUACUUCGGUGACGCCAUCAUUGU
Molecule: unclassified non-coding RNA, 379 nt
Filed under: Hevea brasiliensis (rubber tree)
Lineage: Eukaryota; Viridiplantae; Streptophyta; Magnoliopsida; Malpighiales; Euphorbiaceae
Source: RNAcentral